This 620-nucleotide ribosomal RNA is filed under the name uncultured Clostridium sp. Its description in RNAcentral is "bacterial SSU rRNA". It matches the Rfam family "Bacterial small subunit ribosomal RNA", at positions 104 to 742 of the family's 1533-position model. Lineage: Bacteria; Bacillati; Bacillota; Clostridia; Eubacteriales; Clostridiaceae. The record is from RNAcentral.
GGGUGAGUAACGCGUGGGUAACCUGCCUCAUACAGGGGGAUAACAGUCGGAAACGACUGCUAAUACCGCAUAAGCGCACAGUGCUGCAUAGCACAGUGUGAAAAACUCCGGUGGUAUGAGAUGGACCCGCGUCUGAUUAGGUAGUUGGUAGGGUAACGGCCUACCAAGCCGACGAUCAGUAGCCGACCUGAGAGGGUGACCGGCCACAUUGGGACUGAGACACGGCCCAAACUCCUACGGGAGGCAGCAGUGGGGAAUAUUGGACAAUGGGGGAAACCCUGAUCCAGCGACGCCGCGUGAGUGAAGAAGUAUUUCGGUAUGUAAAGCUCUAUCAGCAGGGAAGAAAAUGACGGUACCUGACUAAGAAGCCCCGGCUAACUACGUGCCAGCAGCCGCGGUAAUACGUAGGGGGCAAGCGUUAUCCGGAUUUACUGGGUGUAAAGGGAGCGUAGACGGCGCUGCAAGUCUGGAGUGAAAGCCCGGGGCUCAACCCCGGGACUGCUUUGGAAACUGUGGCGCUGGAGUGCAGGAGAGGUAAGUGGAAUUCCUAGUGUAGCGGUGAAAUGCGUAGAUAUUAGGAGGAACACCAGUGGCGAAGGCGGCUUACUGGACUGUAACUG